This 509-nucleotide ribosomal RNA is filed under the name Palaemon carinicauda. Its description in RNAcentral is "partial 16S ribosomal RNA". It matches the Rfam family "Bacterial large subunit ribosomal RNA", at positions 1819 to 2597 of the family's 2925-position model. Lineage: Eukaryota; Metazoa; Arthropoda; Malacostraca; Decapoda; Palaemonidae. The record is from RNAcentral.
GGCUGUGUGGUUUAUUAGUAUAGAGUCUAGCCUGCCCACUGAGUUUUUAAAGGGCUGCGGUAAUUUGACCGUGCAAAGGUAGCAUAAUCAAUAGUCUUUUAAUUGAAGGCUUGAAUGAACGGCUGGAUAAAAGAGAAGCUGUCUUUUUUUCAAGUUAGAAUUUGACUUUUAAGUGAAAAGGCUUAAAUUAACUAAAGGGACGAUAAGACCCUAUAAAACUUAAUAAAAGGUUAAUUUUAACUAUGAAUUGUAUUUAAAAGUUGUGAAAUUCUCUUUUUAUUUUGUUGGGGCGACAUUGAUAUAAGCUGUAACUGUCUUGAUAAUAAAAUAGUUAUCACUAUAAGCUGAUCCUUUUUUAGGGAUAAUAAGUAUAAGUUACUUUAGGGAUAACAGCGUAAUUUUUUCUGAGAGUUCUUAUCGAAGAAAGUAGUUGCGACCUCGAUGUUGAAUUAAAAUUUCAUGCAGGUGUAGCCGCUUGCCGUGUGGGUCUGUUCGACCUUUAAAAUUUU